RNAcentral lists this long non-coding RNA (648 nucleotides) under Coffea arabica (coffee). RNAcentral's name for it is "long non-coding RNA (CARA_LNC003201)". Lineage: Eukaryota; Viridiplantae; Streptophyta; Magnoliopsida; Gentianales; Rubiaceae. The record is from RNAcentral.
GAGUAUGAGCAAAUGAACAGUGUAUGCUUACUUGCUAGGAGUGUAUGUGGGGUAUUUAUAGGAGGGUAGAGGACAGAGCGGAGAGCUCAUGCUGGUGGGACCCAUUCUCUGGUCAUUACGGCUCUGUCCCGUGUCAGGAGGCCUGACUCUGACACUGUAGCCGCCUGAGUGUGAUGACGGAGAGUAUUGAGCAGGUUCCAUUAAGAGUCUCCAGUGCUUUUCAGAUAAAGCACUGGACCUGGGUGAUGUCAGGGGCCGUGACCUCAUCAGCGUGCGGCCGAAGUGGGUGGUGCCGAGGUCACCUACACGGUAGGCUAGAGAAGUGGCCGAGCUCAGGGGUUAUGCCCAAGAUACGGAUGAGCUCUGAUAAGGGACGAGGUGAGUUCACCUCGGACACGCAGGAUGGCCGAGGUGAGCAUCCUCAGUAUGCUUACUUGCUAGGAGUGUAUGUGGGGUAUUUAUAGGAGGGUAGAGGACAGAGCGGAGAGCUCAUGCUGGUGGGACCCAUUCUCUGGUCAUUACGGCUCUGUCCCGUGUCAGGAGGCCUGACUCUGACACUGUAGCCGCCUGAGUGUGAUGACGGAGAGUAUUGAGCAGGUUCCAUUAAGAGUCUCCAGUGCUUUUCAGAUAAAGCACUGGACCUGGGUG